ACUUCUCCACGUUACUCGACACAGUGCAGCAGCUACCAGCCAACACUGUGCGCCCGAUGGAACAGGCACCGCCUACUACAGAUGCUACACUACCUUUUUGACAGUUUUGUGAACAAGAAGAAGAAUGCCUUGACUGGUUGUCACAAUUUGAAGCCCACGUCAUCACCCACAAUGUACCAGAUUCACGGAUCUAGAGGACAGCGUGGCCACAGCAGCCGCCAGAGGGUGUCCCCACAACACCGCUGGAUGACCCCAUGGAGACUGAGCCCUCACCUCCUCCACCUCCUCUCGUCCUACCAAUGGAGCUGUACCCACCCACACAGCAGCAGUUGGCACCUUCUUCAUAUGGUUCGUGGCAGCAGGAGGUGGACACGUACCCUUCUGAUCGUUUUCCGAGGGAUGUUUCCGCAAGAGCGCAAGCCGGAUGGUGGGAUACGGCUGGAAGCUUGAUGUCCCCUGCAGCCACAGUUUCCAGCCCGGCGAUCUGCCCACACUCUUGCCUCCCCCACCGUGAUCGCACUAACUACACGACGACAGUCCAUCACUUGGGGACGGGGAGGGGGGAGGAAUGUUUUGGCAUAACCACAAGUGCCAGAACAAAAAUUAAGAACGCAAGAGAAGAGAAGGCGGUGAAACGACGUCAGCCAAUGGUGCGCUGAUUAGGACUGCACCAUGACAGGAACUACCUCUACAAGGGGAGAGUAUAAGUGCCACUCCUGCCAGCCUUGGCUGCUCAGUAUUCAGCAGACAGGGCUAGCAGAGAACACUACGAUAGCAGUUAUUAGAGAUCCACAAACUGUGUCUUAAACUUGCAUGAACAUUGCAUAUAGCAAAGGACUUGGAUUAAUGUUGCAUGUCGCCUCCCACUUGCGACACCAUUGUAAAUUCCAAGUUAAGUAUUGUCAUUCUUCUGAAUUGUAAUAAAAACUAUUAGUGUGA
This is a long non-coding RNA of Schistocerca piceifrons (Central American locust), 939 nucleotides long. RefSeq lists it as uncharacterized. NCBI's taxonomy places the organism in Eukaryota, Metazoa, Arthropoda, Insecta, Orthoptera, Acrididae. The transcript is spliced from 2 exons. The record is from RefSeq and is a predicted model, not a curated record.